UACGUAGGGGGCAAGCGUUGUCCGGAAUCAUUGGGCGUAAAGAGCGUGUAGGCGGCUUGGCAAGUCUGGUGUGAAAUCUUGCGGCUCAACCGCAAGCGGUCACUGGAAACUGCCUCGCUAGAGUCCGGAAGAGGAGAGCGGAAUUCCUGGUGUAGCGGUGGAAUGCGCAGAUAUCAGGAAGAACACCCGUGGCGAAGGCGGCUCUCUGGGACGGUACUGACGCUGAGACGCGAAAGCGUGGGGAGCAAACAGG
Molecule: ribosomal RNA, 253 nt
Filed under: uncultured bacterium
Lineage: Bacteria
Description: partial 16S ribosomal RNA
Rfam family: Bacterial small subunit ribosomal RNA
Source: RNAcentral